GUGACUGUGUCGUCAACUUCACGCAGAAAGCAGGAAGACAUUUGACAAAAACAAAUCAGAACUUAAAAGUGUAACCUGUCUGUUUGCUCGCUUGUCUUCCCCCGGUUGAGACAAAUGUCUUCGGAUGCGGUCGAUGUGGAUGAUGUGGAGGAUGAUGAUGUGGAGUUCGUAUCCGAAGGUCCUCUCAGGCCCGUGCUGGAGUUCAUUGACCUCUCCAGUGAUGAUGACAAAGAGUCUUCAGAAAUCGCACGCGCCGAUGUAAAGGCCGAGGAUGAGGUUGACCAGCACAAAGCCCAGGUCACCUCGACGUUGGACAGACUUGCACGGAAAGUGGCUGCUGAAAAACAAGAGAGAGCUGACAAGUGCAAGGCCUUCAAGAGGAAGGUGAUUUCACAACAGGCUCAUGGCAGACAAGAGCUGGCAUUCAGUGACGGCAAUGGAGAGGGCCAUGACGCCAAGCGCUGCGUUGACAUGUGGCUAAAGAUGCCGGGGGUGAAGCCGGGCGUCAUCAACAAUGGAGGAGGGUGGAGGAGACGGUCGGCAGCCUCGGCUGCCAUGUUCAAGGCCAGCCCUCAGACCUGCCCCGUCAUCAACUGCGGACGCGUCUACGAGAACAAGGCACUCCUGGAGGGACACCUCAUCAGGUUUGACCACUCUCCCUGUGACCCCAGCAUCCUCUUGAAGGGGAAUCCUUCUGUUCAAUUUGCAUGUGUCGCCUGUGGCUCCUACUUUGACACCAAAGACUCCUGGAGGACGCAUCAACAGGCCAAGAUAUCCUCAUCCAACCCUGGGAAUCAUAGGAGCUCCCAGACGUGUCAGCAGAUGGUAGCCUUUGCAUGUCCAUCCUGUUGCCUCCUCUUCAACAUCAAGGAAGAGUGCCAUCAGCAUAUGACGGAGAAAGACCACUUCACAGAGUGCAUUAGAGGCUUUGCUUCCAAAGAUGUGGCCACGCCUGUACCUGUCCCCCGCUACGCCAAGAACCGCCUCAUCGCGCUCUGCAAGGACGUGACCUCCAGCGUCCGAUGCUCGGGGUGCAAAAAACGCCUGGCGUCGCACAUGGAGGCACGGGCACAUUUCAAUGUGCACUGCCGGAACGCCACAGCCAUGGCGGUAGCGGAGCAGACGGUCGCCGAGGUGAUGCGGCAGCGCAUGGGCGUCCUGGGCCGCUGCACGGCCUGUCCCAAGCUCUUCCACAAGCCCUUCCAGAUGGACGAGCACAAGCAACAGACGGCGCAUCACGUGGAGCUGACGGGCUGCAUGGAGAAAGCCCUGCUGCACUACAGCGAUGUGCAGGAGACCCUGCAGCUGGCCGGCAGGGCUCCAGGAGCCCCGGCAGCAGGAUCGUCCACCCCAGGCGCAGGGCCGUCCAAGCGGGCCAGGGGGCAAACGGAGUCCCCUCAGGGGAGCAGCCAGGACACCCCUGCCAAGCGGAAGAAGCGAACAGCCUCGGCUGACGGAGGCUUGCCUGGGUCAGGUGGUGGUGUUGAGCUGACCACGGUGUGGAGUUGCGAGUGUGGCCAGCGCUUCCCCGAGGAGGCGCAGGCCACCGCGCACCUGCUGGCGGUCAACCAGGUGUUCCACAAGUGCGCCGUCUGCGGCAAGCUGAUGGGCGAGGCGUCCAUCACCCGGCUGCACAUGAGCCGCUUCCACGGCGGCGCGCACCUCUCCAACUUCCUGCUGCACUGCCGGCCGUGCCGCCUGGACCUGCCGCGCAUGCAGGACAUCAUGGCGCACGUGGCCGCCGAGCACCAGGGACACACCUUCUACCUGGAGAAACAGGAAGAGGCCAUAGCAGCGGCGGGGGUAGGGGCGGGCGGUAAAGCCCAGAUACACCCUCUCCUGGAUGAAGCCGCCUCCACCAGCUCUGGGGGUGGGGGUGGUGCAGGGGCGGCGUCGGCGGCGUCUGCCUCUCCACUGCCCGACCAGCAGACGUGGCUGUGCCGCAUGUGUGAGGAGCUGUUCGAGACGGAGGCGGCGGUACAGGCCCACUGCGGUGACAUGGCGGCCCACAGCUUCCAGCGGCUGGCGUGCGCCCUCUGCCCCCAGAAGUUCUUCAAGGAAGCCACGUUGCGGAGGCACGUCUUCACGGAGCACCAGAGCCUGGAGCCGGCAGCCGCCACACGUUACUUCUGCGGCCUGUGUGACAGCAUGCUGUUCGACACAGAGGACGAGUUCCAGCAGCACUACAGCAGCAUACACGCCAAGGAUUACUACUGUCUGGAACCCGCACCGCAGCCCAGCACAUCCACAGCCACAUCCACAUCUACAGGCACCACAGCCGCAUCUCCAGCCACAGCCAGGACGACAGCAAAGCGGCAUACAGAGCCUCAUCCGGAGCAUCAGAAGCGUCAGCGUCAGCAGCAGCAGCAGCAGCAGAGGGCCCCAGCAGCAGCAGCAGCAGCCGUGGUGGUGGAGGAUGACGACGACGCAGACCCGGACUCCACCACCAGCGACCCGGACGGCCUGUGUGGCUGCAUGGCCGUGGAGCUGCCCAAGGAGGGGGCGAAGGCCGUCUACACGCGCUGCAUGAAGCAGCUAGCUAGCGAGCUCAAGUGCUUCUACUCCUGCGGGUUCUGCGUCCAGCAGGCCCCGUCUUACGCACAGAUCAAGACGCACGUGCACACCAAGCACAGCACCGCGGUGGCCAAGCACGCCGCCAACGCCACCCCCAACAAAGGCUUCUCGGUGGUCUGCGGGACGUGCUCGGAGAAACACGAUGACGUGCCAGCCUUCCACAGCCACUAUCAUGCACAGCACUGCCCCCUGGAGCCAUGUGCCAGCGCGCGCAGCCAGAUCCCAGAUGAGGAGGUAGUGGAGACAGUGGAGGCCUCAACUAGUGCCAAGAUACUGCACGCUCAGGAGAUACUGCCGGAGAAGAAUGCAGAAGAAUUUCAAGACGUGAAACGGGCCAUGUCAAUUGUCUCUCCUUUGAAAGAAGACAAGAAAUCUGACGACGAGUCUGAUGAGGAGCUGAAGCGUGCUCUGGCCCUGAGUGAAGAAGAAGCAAAGAAGCCUACCCCCUUUGAUAAUGCAGACACAUGCAUGCAAGAGCAUGACCCCAAAAUAGAUGUGAAGAUGUAGCAGGUGACAGAAAGGAUUCGGUCUGUCCAGGCUUUGGCCAGGCCCAGCCAAGGGAACUGGAUGAAUAGAAGGCCAGAAUUGGAAGAAGCUCUAAGAAGAAGUUUGGAAGAGUUCUAAUAUUGCAAAAGAACAUGUAUUUGUUUUUGUUGUCUGAGACAUACAUGUGCGGUUCAUGAUUUUUAUGUUUGUAUUGUAUGUACAUAAUUACUUCAAAUAAAACAGGAAUGCUUGA
RNA transcript from Engraulis encrasicolus (European anchovy), 3313 nucleotides. It is a transcript of the gene named zinc finger protein 451, with no coding region annotated. The transcript is spliced from 17 exons. The record is from RefSeq and is a predicted model, not a curated record. NCBI's taxonomy places the organism in Eukaryota, Metazoa, Chordata, Actinopteri, Clupeiformes, Engraulidae.